This 431-nucleotide long non-coding RNA is filed under the name Medicago truncatula (barrel medic). RNAcentral's name for it is "long non-coding RNA (MTRU_LNC005452)". Lineage: Eukaryota; Viridiplantae; Streptophyta; Magnoliopsida; Fabales; Fabaceae. The record is from RNAcentral.
UGAAGAUGUGGCUUCUUUGCAAUUUACUUGUGUUGGACAUGGUGGAGGACGGAAAUGUGGUAGUAUAGUUGAUACCGUAAUACUAAUCAAUCCCUGUUUCAAGCAAAAUAACAUGGUAACUUGAUUAACAAGUAAUGCAAUACUAUGUAGUAUUAAAACGAAAACACUAAUGUUUCAAAUCAUUUAUUUCAAUUGACACUAAUGAUUAUAUUACAGUUGUUCCAGUGGGAUUCGAACUCUGUCCUUUUAAGUUAUAAAGUCAAACCCUAACCACUGAUCUGAAACCAUUUAUUUGGAUUUAAAAGAUUGGACAAAUAAAGUAGUCUUCGCGACAUCACCACAUACAAGUAGAAAAUGACAUUCUAAGAAUGGGACUUUAUUGUAUUUAAAUUAGUUUUUGAUCUUGAGGUUCAUAGUGUAAUCAAAUACAG